UACGUAGGGUGCAAGCGUUGUCCGGAAUUAUUGGGCGUAAAGAGCUCGUAGGCGGUCUGUCGCGUCGGCUGUGAAAACCCGGAGCUCAACUCCGGGCCUGCAGUCGAUACGGGCAGACUGGAGUUCGGCAGGGGAGACUGGAAUUCCUGGUGUAGCGGUGGAAUGCGCAGAUAUCAGGAGGAACACCGAUGGCGAAGGCAGGUCUCUGGGCCAUUACUGACACUGAGAAGCGAAAGCAUGGGGAGCGAACAGG
Molecule: ribosomal RNA, 253 nt
Filed under: uncultured bacterium
Lineage: Bacteria
Description: partial 16S ribosomal RNA
Rfam family: Bacterial small subunit ribosomal RNA
Source: RNAcentral